GCCAGACUCCUACGGGAGGCAGCAGUGAGGAAUAUUGGUCAAUGGGCGGAAGCCUGAACCAGCCAAGUCGCGUGAGGGAAGAAGGCCCUGCGGGUCGCAGACCUCUUUGGACGGGGAGCAAGGCCGCCGACGUGUCGGCGGAAGGAGAGUACCCGUAGAACAAGCAUCGGCCAACUCCGUGCCAGCAGCCGCGGUAAUACGGAGGAUGCGAGCGUUAUCCGGAUUUAUUGGGUUUAAAGGGUGCGUAGGCGGAAUGCCAAGUCGGCGGUAAAAUCGCGGGGCUCAACCUCGCUCCGCCGUUGAAACUGGCAGUCUCGAGUUGGAGAGAAGUAUGCGGAAUGCGCGGUGUAGCGGUGAAAUGCAUAGAUAUCGCGCAGAACUCCGAUUGCGAAGGCAGCAUGCCGGCUCCACACUGACGCUGAGGCACGAAAGCGUGGGUAUCGAACAGGAUUAGAUACCCUCGUA
This 465-nucleotide ribosomal RNA is filed under the name uncultured bacterium. RNAcentral's name for it is "bacterial SSU rRNA". It matches the Rfam family "Bacterial small subunit ribosomal RNA", at positions 330 to 792 of the family's 1533-position model. The record is from RNAcentral.